Molecule: long non-coding RNA, 734 nt
Filed under: Mus musculus (house mouse)
Lineage: Eukaryota; Metazoa; Chordata; Mammalia; Rodentia; Muridae
Description: long non-coding RNA chr11:16607969-16608703
Source: RNAcentral
GAUGCAAUGCUAGUCUAAUGUUAAACCCACCACCAGGGGUUCUUUAGUAAAUACCUGAUUUUGCUAUUCCUCUGGGCCUAGUGAAAAAACCUGUACCAGGGGAAUUCCCUUCCACUAAAUCUUUCAUGCUACAACCCACCAAUUUGCUAGGCCAUUGUGUAUUCCUGUGUUUGGGUGUGACUUGGCUAUUGUCCUAAGUAAUUACUAUGCAGACUAGCCCUGAACUUUCCUAGCUCUGUACUUUGUAAUGCCUGAUCUUUUCCACUGUCUCUACUAGAAGUGAAUUUGAAUGUUACUGAAUAGGUAACAUUCUUACUGAAUUCCGAGCUCACCGUUGGCUUCAAGAAUUUUCGAUGAAUGAUUGGAACACUGGUGGAGGCUUAGCUAUGUCAAAAUCAAUCCUUAAAGGCACUUAUAAUAAAACAAUACUGAAAGAGAGCACAUGGACUAACUUGGGGACAGGGUUUGUGUAUACGGACUAUGGGAAUGCCAAGGUUCCAGGAGGCAAAGUUUCCUUGAAACUCUUCACCUCGUGACUGCUUUCAGGCCCUUAGGCCCACCAAGCAGACUGCACUGGAGUGGACGUAGCAAAUAUGACAAGAAGUUCCUGUGAAUUUCAGGUUCACAUGUGAGUAUUUUUUUCUUCAGGUAUUUUCUGUUGUUUGAGGUAGACAGUAUUUAUACAACCAGAAAAUAAGUCCCCCUGUUAAUGAAUUCCAAUAUGACAAGAAUCU